GCCAUGAACAUGGACCAAAAACUCAGGCUAAAAUCCUGGCCCUCAAUGUGAUGGUGUUAGGAGGUGCCUUUGGGAGUAAUUAGGUCUUGAGGGUGGAGCCCUCGUGAAGGGGAUUAUUGCCCUUACAAAAGAGGCUCCAGAGAGCUCUCCUUCCACCCCAUGAGGACACAGGGAGACGUGGGCAGUCUGCAGGCCACAAGAGGGUCCUCACCAGGACCUGCCCAUGUUGGCAUCCUGCUCUCAGACUCCCAGCCUCUGGAACUGCCUUCUCAGAACCUCUCAGAGACGAAGAGUACCGCGGCUGUUUAAAAGGUGGGCAGUGCCCACAGCAUUUCCUGCCUGGCUGACCCAUGGGGCCAUGUGGAGCAGAACAUUGCUCAGGACUAAGUCUGGGGACACCUCACUCUGAAAUGCUGAUGAUCUGGACAGUCUUUUCAUUUACAAAGGGCCUGGGUUCUAUGAGCUUUCAACCUCCCCCCACCCCCCCACCCCCAUCAGCGGUCUUCAACUGAUGCUAAUACUGCUAAGUUCUACUCCGAGGAGGGAGACCCAGGUCGAGUCUGCCACUGAGCCCCCAGGGAAGCCUGGCUGUAGCCUGCCUCCUGGGAUGGCUCCUUCCCCUUCUCUGAGAUUCCUGUCGUUGCACUGACAAAUUGCCACAAACAUGUGCCUUAAAACAGCGGAGCGUUAUUGCCUUUCAGUUUGGGAGGUCAGAAGCCUCUGGGCUACAGUCAAGGUGCUGGCAGGGCUGUAUUCCUUCUGGAAGCUCAAGGAUUUUUCCUGCGUUUUCCAGCUUCUGGGGGCCACCCCCACUCCUUGGCUCAUGCCCCUUCCUCCAGCUUCAGCACCAGCAGUGGCAGGCCCAGCCUUCCUCGCAGCCUCGGUCAUCCACGUUUAGGGCUCUUGUGGUCCCACUGGACCCACCCGGGUCCCCCAGGCCAGUCUCCUGGUCAUGAGGUCAGCUGACUAGCAAGCUUAAUUCCAGCUGCACCCUUAAUGCCCCCUCUUGAGGUGGCAUCCAUUCACGGGUUCCAGGUUCUAGGUGGAUGUCUUCAGGGGCUGUUACUGUGCUUCCCUCGCCUCCUCUGCUCAGCUCUGAACUCAGCACAGUAACAGUGCUCAGAGCUGUGCCUGUGAUGCUCUCACCACGGCCCCCGGGGCGGCUGGCGCCCGUCACCCCUCCUGACAGGAAACCGAGGCUCAGAGGUGUGAAGUUGCCUGCUGAGGCCGCCCAGCAGGAAAACAGCCCAGCUGGGGCUCAUGGCCACGUCCACGCAUGCGCCUCAGGAGCCCAGGCUCUUGGCCACCAUGGGGGGCACCUGUUACCCGCCACGGGCCAGCUCCUCCCGCAGUGAGCGCCCCCACCGGCUUUGCUCAGGAGAGUGGACACAGUCCUAAGCUCCAUGCGUCAGUUCCACAGGCCUGUGAGCACACUUCCCUGGCCCUCAGGGUUCUCCUCCCUGGGCCUCCGCCAGCUAGUGUGCAGAAACACUCGACGUGCAAAGACCCCACGCGGGCCUCACUGGCUCUACCUGCAACCCGUGGGAAUGUUUGUUUCUGCUGGGUCUGCCUCCCGCGCUGCAAAGUUGGCCCUGUGAAAGCAGCUAAUGGAUAUGUUUGCGUUGCUUCAGUCUCCCCGGGACCCAGCACUGUGCCUGGACCGUGGCAGCAUCAGGGUCUUUUCCAAUGAGUCAGCUCUUUGCAUCAGGUGGCCAAAGUAUUAGAGCUUCAGCUUCAGCAUCAGUCCUUCCAAUGAAUAUUCAGGACUGAUUUCCUUUAGGAUGGACUGGUUGGAUCUCCUUGCUGUUCAAGGGACUCAAGAGUCUUCUCUAGCACCACAGUUAAAAAGCAUCAAUUCUUUGGCGCUCAGCGUUCUUUACAGUCCAACAC
Long non-coding RNA from Bos taurus (domestic cattle), 1890 nucleotides. NCBI's taxonomy places the organism in Eukaryota, Metazoa, Chordata, Mammalia, Artiodactyla, Bovidae. The record is from Ensembl.